This 1436-nucleotide ribosomal RNA is filed under the name uncultured organism. RNAcentral describes it as "SSU rRNA". It matches the Rfam family "Bacterial small subunit ribosomal RNA". The record is from RNAcentral.
UUAACACAUGCAAGUCGAGGGGCAGCAUGGUCUUAGCUUGCUAAGGCCGAUGGCGACCGGCGCACGGGUGAGUAACACGUAUCCAACCUGCCGUCUACUCUUGGACAGCCUUCUGAAAGGAAGAUUAAUACAAGAUGGCAUCAUGAGUCCGCAUGUUCACAUGAUUAAAGGUAUUCCGGUAGACGAUGGGGAUGCGUUCCAUUAGAUAGUAGGCGGGGUAACGGCCCACCUAGUCUUCGAUGGAUAGGGGUUCUGAGAGGAAGGUCCCCCACAUUGGAACUGAGACACGGUCCAAACUCCUACGGGAGGCAGCAGUGAGGAAUAUUGGUCAAUGGGCGAGAGCCUGAACCAGCCAAGUAGCGUGAAGGAUGACUGCCCUAUGGGUUGUAAACUUCUUUUAUAAAGGAAUAAAGUCGGGUAUGGAUACCCGUUUGCAUGUACUUUAUGAAUAAGGAUCGGCUAACUCCGUGCCAGCAGCCGCGGUAAUACGGAGGAUCCGAGCGUUAUCCGGAUUUAUUGGGUUUAAAGGGAGCGUAGAUGGAUGUUUAAGUCAGUUGUGAAAGUUUGCGGCUCAACCGUAAAAUUGCAGUUGAUACUGGAUAUCUUGAGUGCAGUUGAGGCAGGCGGAAUUCGUGGUGUAGCGGUGAAAUGCUUAGAUAUCACGAAGAACUCCGAUUGCGAAGGCAGCCUGCUAAGCUGCAACUGACAUUGAGGCUCGAAAGUGUGGGUAUCAAACAGGAUUAGAUACCCUGGUAGUCCACACGGUAAACGAUGAAUACUCGCUGUUUGCGAUAUACUGCAAGCGGCCAAGCGAAAGCGUUAAGUAUUCCACCUGGGGAGUACGCCGGCAACGGUGAAACUCAAAGGAAUUGACGGGGGCCCGCACAAGCGGAGGAACAUGUGGUUUAAUUCGAUGAUACGCGAGGAACCUUACCCGGGCUUAAAUUGCAGAUGAAUUACGGUGAAAGCCGUAAGCCGCAAGGCAUCUGUGAAGGUGCUGCAUGGUUGUCGUCAGCUCGUGCCGUGAGGUGUCGGCUUAAGUGCCAUAACGAGCGCAACCCUUGUUGUCAGUUACUAACAGGUUCCGCUGAGGACUCUGACAAGACUGCCAUCGUAAGAUGUGAGGAAGGUGGGGAUGACGUCAAAUCAGCACGGCCCUUACGUCCGGGGCUACACACGUGUUACAAUGGGGGGUACAGAGGGUCGCUACCACGCGAGUGGAUGCCAAUCCCCAAAACCUCUCUCAGUUCGGACUGGAGUCUGCAACCCGACUCCACGAAGCUGGAUUCGCUAGUAAUCGCGCAUCAGCCACGGCGCGGUGAAUACGUUCCCGGGCCUUGUACACACCGCCCGUCAAGCCAUGGGAGCCGGGGGUACCUGAAGUGCGUAACCGCGAGGAGCGCCCUAGGGUAAAACUGGUGACUGGGGCUAAGUCA